RNAcentral lists this ribosomal RNA (635 nucleotides) under uncultured Bacillota bacterium. Its description in RNAcentral is "bacterial SSU rRNA". It matches the Rfam family "Bacterial small subunit ribosomal RNA", at positions 22 to 656 of the family's 1533-position model. Lineage: Bacteria; Bacillati; Bacillota. The record is from RNAcentral.
GUUCAGGACGAACGCUGGCGGCGUGCUUAACACAUGCAAGUCGAACGAGAAUCUGCGGAAAGAGGAUUCGUCCAAUUGAAGCAGAGGACAGUGGCGGACGGGUGAGUAACGCGUGAGGAACCUGCCUUUCAGAGGGGGACAACAGUUGGAAACGACUGCUAAUACCGCAUGACAUAUAGAUGUCGCAUGGCAUUUAUAUCAAAGAUUUAUCGCUGAAAGAUGGCCUCGCGUCUGAUUAGCUAGUUGGUGAGGUAACGGCCCACCAAGGCGACGAUCAGUAGCCGGACUGAGAGGUUGAACGGCCACAUUGGGACUGAGAUACGGCCCAGACUCCUACGGGAGGCAGCAGUGGGGAAUAUUGGGCAAUGGGCGCAAGCCUGACCCAGCAACGCCGCGUGAAGGAAGAAGGCUUUCGGGUUGUAAACUUCUUUUGUCAGGGACGAGUAGAAGACGGUACCUGACGAAUAAGCCACGGCUAACUACGUGCCAGCAGCCGCGGUAAUACGUAGGUGGCAAGCGUUGUCCGGAUUUACUGGGUGUAAAGGGCGUGUAGCCGGGAGGGCAAGUCAGAUGUGAAAUCCACGGGCUCAACUCGUGAACUGCAUUUGAAACUACUCUUCUUGAGUAUCGGAGAG